GAAAGGCAUACAGAACUGCUAACUCCAACAACCAAUAUUAAACUAUUGGACCUUUCU
RNAcentral lists this transfer RNA (57 nucleotides) under Furcifer petteri. RNAcentral describes it as "tRNA-Ser". The record is from RNAcentral. Lineage: Eukaryota; Metazoa; Chordata; Lepidosauria; Squamata; Chamaeleonidae.